This 253-nucleotide ribosomal RNA is filed under the name uncultured bacterium. RNAcentral's name for it is "partial 16S ribosomal RNA". It matches the Rfam family "Bacterial small subunit ribosomal RNA", at positions 524 to 776 of the family's 1533-position model. The record is from RNAcentral.
UACGUAGGGGGCAAGCGUUGUCCGGAAUCAUUGGGCGUAAAGAGCGUGUAGGCGGCCAAGCAGGUCCGCUGUGAAAACUCGAGGCUCAACCUCGAGACGUCGGUGGAAACCGUUUGGCUAGAGUCCGGAAGAGGAGAGUGGAAUUCCUGGUGUAGCGGUGAAAUGCGCAGAUAUCGGGAAGAACACCCGUGGCGAAGGCGGGUCUCUGGGCAGUAACUGACGCUGAGGAGCGAAAGCGUGGGGAGCGAACAGG